GACGAACGCUGGCGGCGUGCUUAACACAUGCAAGUCGAACGGAAAGGCCCUGCUUUUGUGGGGUGCUCGAUUGGCGAACGGGUGAGUAACACGUGAGUAACCUGCCCUUGACUUUGGGAUAACUUCAGGAAACUGGGGCUAAUACCGGAUAUGAGCUCCUGCUGCAUGGUGGGGGUUGGAAAGUUUCGGCGGUUGGGGAUGGACUCGCGGCUUAUCAGCUUGUUGGUGGGGUAGUGGCUGACCAAGCCUUUGACGGGUAGCCGGCCUGAGAGGGUGACCGGGGACAUGGGGACUGAGAGACGGACCAGAAGCCAACGGGAGGCAGCAGGGGGGAAUAUUGCAGAAUGGGCGGAAGCCUGAUGCAGAAACGCCGCGUGCGGGAUGACGGCCUUCGGGUUGUAAACAGAUUUCGCCUGUGACGAAGAGUGAGUGACGGUAAUGGGUAAAGAAGCACCGGCUAACUACGUG
RNAcentral lists this ribosomal RNA (468 nucleotides) under uncultured bacterium. Its description in RNAcentral is "partial 16S ribosomal RNA". It matches the Rfam family "Bacterial small subunit ribosomal RNA", at positions 28 to 507 of the family's 1533-position model. The record is from RNAcentral.